Molecule: ribosomal RNA, 406 nt
Filed under: uncultured bacterium
Lineage: Bacteria
Description: partial 16S ribosomal RNA
Rfam family: Bacterial small subunit ribosomal RNA
Source: RNAcentral
AUUGAACGCUGGCGGCAGGCCUAACACAUGCAAGUCGAGCGCGCGGCGGACGGGGGAGAGAUGUCUGGGAAAAUGCCUGAUAGGGGGGGGUAACACAUGGAGACGGUAGAUAAAACCGCAUACCACAUGAGGUGCCCAGAUGGGAUUAGAUAGGAGGUGGGGUAAAGGCUCACCCAGGCGACGAUCCCUAGCUGGUCUGAGAGGAUGACCAGCCACACUGGAACUGAGACACGGUCCAGACUCCUACGGGAGGCAGCAGUGGGGAAUAUUGCACAAUGGGCGCAAGCCUGAUGCAGCCAUGCCGCGUGUGUGAAGAAGGCCUUCGGGUUGUAAAGCACUUUCAGCGGGGAGGCGUUACCCGCAGAAGAAGCACCGGCUAACUCCGUGCCAGCAGCCGCGGUAAUUC